This 222-nucleotide unclassified non-coding RNA is filed under the name Hevea brasiliensis (rubber tree). The record is from RNAcentral. Lineage: Eukaryota; Viridiplantae; Streptophyta; Magnoliopsida; Malpighiales; Euphorbiaceae.
UAUUAUUUAGUAUUUACAGAAAAGAUAUCAUUGGGUGAAAUCUAUAUUAGACCUACCACCAUCAAUGAUUAUAAUCAUUGUACAUACAUUAAUUUUAUAAUAUGAUUUUUUUAGCUAUUAUGCAAUGAGAUUAAAUUUCCUCUUAAGGAUACUCUUCUACAUUGACCUGGUGUAUUAAUAAUAAAUAAUUUUGAAAUGCUUAUUAGCCAAGUUGAAUCCUGA